Molecule: ribosomal RNA, 896 nt
Filed under: uncultured archaeon
Lineage: Archaea
Description: bacterial SSU rRNA
Rfam family: Archaeal small subunit ribosomal RNA
Source: RNAcentral
CCCGACUGCUAUUUGGGUGAGGAUAAGCCAUGCGAGUCGAAUGGGAUACCUAAAUUUCCCAUGGCGAACUGCUCAGUAACACAUGAUCAACUUAACCUAUUGAGAAAGAUAACCUCGGGAAACUGAGGAUAAUAUUUCAUAGUUGAAUUGGCUUGGAAAAGUUUUUCAACAAAAGGGAUAGGGAAAAUGGUCUCUAUCCGCUAUAGGAUAGGAUCGUGUUCGAUUAUGGUAGUUGGUGAGGUAACGGCUCACCAAGCCGAUAAUCGAUAGGGGCCGUGAGAGCGGGAGCCCCGAGAUGGGUACUGAGACAACGACCCAGGCCUUACGAGGCGCAGCAGGUACGAAACCUCCACAAUACACGAAAGUGUGAUGGGGUUACCCAAAGUGUUCAUUAUUGAACUGUGGUAGGAGAGUAAUGUCCCCUACUAGAAAGGAGAGGGCAAGGCUGGUGCCAGCCGCCGCGGUAAAACCAGCUCUUCAAGUGGUCGGGAUAAUAUUGGGCUUAAAGUGUCCGUAGCCGGUUUAGUAAGUUCCUGGUAAAAUCGGGUAGCUUAACUAUCUGUAUGCUAGGAAUACUGCUAUACUAGAGGGCGGGAGAGGUCUGAGGUACUACAGGGGUAAGGGUGAAAUCUUAUAAUCCUUGUAGGACCACCAGUGGCGAAGGCGUCAGACUGGAGCGCGCCUGACGGUGAGGGACGAAAGCCAGGGGAGCGAACCGGAUUAGAUACCCGGGUAUUCCUGGCCGUAAACGAUGCAUACUAGGUGAUGGUAUGGCUAUGAGCCAUAUCAGUGCCGUAGGGAAACCGUUAAGUGUGCCGCCUGGGAAGUACGGUCGCAAGGCCAAAACUUAAAGGAAUUGGCGGGGGAGCACCACAAGGGGUGAAGCCUGCGGUUCA